Spinacia oleracea (spinach) is the source of this 1559-nucleotide long non-coding RNA. RefSeq lists it as uncharacterized. NCBI's taxonomy places the organism in Eukaryota, Viridiplantae, Streptophyta, Magnoliopsida, Caryophyllales, Amaranthaceae. The record is from RefSeq and is a predicted model, not a curated record. The transcript is spliced from 4 exons.
UCAUCUUGUUCUUCAAUCUUCCUGUAUACAAAUUCCCUUCCAAUUUCAGACAUUCAACAUCAAAAAUCAAUUACCAAAAACUGAAACUCUCACUCCCUUGCUCCUUUGUUCGAACCACCAGCAACCACCGUAGGCCACCACUGCAGCCACCACUGACCACCACCAUCCAACAACCACCUCAACCACCCUGACCGUCGUUGUCCCCCAGCACCACCAUCGCACCACCAUUACCCUCGCCCUAUUCCUCCCCUCCUGCGUACCUCCCCUGUCCCUCCCCUGCUUUCCUUUUUCCUUCCCCUUUUGCUGCACCACAUCACGCAACCACAGCCACCAUCGAUUACCACCUCGACCACCACUGCUCGACCACCGCCCCAGCUACCUUCGACCACCACCGCACCUCCCUCACCCUCUCCCUUUCACCACACGCAUCCCCUGCCCCUGUCUUUCCUUCCUCUUUGCGGGACUGCUCCACCCACGCCACCCUCACCGUCCACCCUCACCACCUUAUUCACCAACCUCCGCCGCCCAUUUUUCUCGGCGAGCCGUCCUCCCCUCCGCCCAGAAUCACCACGACACCACCACUUAACCCCCUGCUCGUGCCCCUCUCUUCCUCUCUCUCUCCGUUCUGCCGCCACCAAGUAAUCAACACCAUCGCCGCCUCACCUCCGGCGCUGCGCCAAACCACCGAGCCACCCACCCACCUCCCUCCUCUUCUCUCCUCCUCUUUGUGCUCUUGCCCUGUUUCGUGCCCUGCUUCCAGAAACCAAAACCAAAUUCUGGUUUUGGUUUUAUUCUCCUUAAAACCCAUAAUUAAGUUGGGCCACUUUCAUUUGGGCUUUGAAACCGGACUUGGAACUCAGGAAGAACGAUCCAUCAGACGAGAAAUAUAAAACUACGGUUGAGGUACUACGGGGAUCGAUGGAAACGAGUAGAGGCGAGGAAUUUCACUUUAAUAAUAUUCACCUAGUUUAUGCUUAAAGUUAUAAUAGUUUAAUUAAAGACUUUUAGUAAGUUAUGUACUUUUAUUUUGAUGAUAUAAAGGAUUAUUAUAUUAAAUUGGAGGUUUUUAUGGCUUAUGUAUGAUGUUGCCUUGUAAUUUCCAAGACGGAAUUACGGCAGAUCCUUUCAAAUCUUGCAAGCCUAGGCCAGGAGACAGUUGUGGGUUCUUUGACGCCAAGUGUUGUGGAAAAAUGGUUUGUUCGGGCAAUAAUAGAUGUGAAGACCCUAACGGCUUUACGGAGGCACUCGACAUUGUCAUGGACCGUAUGAUCUCCUACUGAAUGUUCUACUACUAUUUCCUAUCAUCCUAUUGUGUAUAUACAAGUUUGAAUAAGUUGGUUAUCAACACGUAACUUUGGCAUACCUAUUGUAAGAUCACAAUUAUUUGUGACAUAGUUAUAUGUAGGUGUGUCAAAAUUAAUUUAUCCCUGUGUCGAAACUUGUUUCCUCUUUAAUGUGUGUACUACUACUAUCUUGAACUGUAUUUUGUUUUCUUCUUUGAUGCUUCAAUCAAAGUAGUAUGUAUUAUUGGAUGGUUUGUAUUCAUGUAUGAUACUACA